This 631-nucleotide long non-coding RNA is filed under the name Struthio camelus australis. RNAcentral describes it as "lncRNA (ENSSCUG00000008923.1)". Lineage: Eukaryota; Metazoa; Chordata; Aves; Struthioniformes; Struthionidae. The record is from RNAcentral.
ACGUGGAUCAGGUAGGUCAAUUUGCAGCAAAACCUUAUGAAAUUAGAGGUAGAUGAAAUCUUGUCAGUAGUUAAACAUUUGUAUCUUCGGUCUUGUUUGCUUGUCUUCAGGUAACAUUGCUGACAAGAACCGCAACUAACCCACCGUUUUCUCCAUUGGAAUAAGAGAAUAAUCCAGAGGCAGUUCAUCUGGAGAGCCAUAAGCAAGGCAAACCGUCUCCAUCCUGCCCUGCACAAAUGAAGCCACCUAUCCUGCUCUCUCUGCAAUAUCGAGUCUGUACUGGGGGGCAUUGCCACAAUGCACGUGGUUUUCAUCACUGCUAAGAAGGGAAGCUUCUUGGUAUGAGAGAAGAGAUGCACGUCUGUGACCACAUCCCACCGUUGCAGGCAGUGACAGCCGGCAGCUGCUGCUCUCUGCAAUCUAUUGCCCAGGUGUACCUUCUGCAUGGUUUCACAGCCAGCUUGUCCCGGAGAAAUCAUGGGAGAAUGGGAUCAGGUUUACUUCUAAGCCAGGCAUAACCCUCUGCAGCCACGAACAACACAGAGACUGUACCAGCACCCAGGUAAUCUACCCCCCAUUCAAGUGUGAAAUCCUAGCUGUGCUCCUCUGGGAAGUAUUUAGGGGACAGUGG